AAACUAACAAGGAUUCCCCUAGUAACGGCGAGUGAAGAGGGAAGAGCCCAAGAUUGAAAGCUGGCGUCUUCGGCGUCCGCAUUGUAAUCUCAAGAAGUGUUUUCCGCUUCGGACCAAGCCUAAGUCCCCUGGAAAGGGGCAUCAUAGAGGGUGAUAAUCCCGUACAUGGCUUGGAGCGCCCGAGGCUUUGUGAUACGCUUUCUAAGAGUCGAGUUGUUUGGGAAUGCAGCUCAAAAUGGGUGGUAAAUGCCAUCUAAGGCUAAAUAUUGGGGAGAGACCGAUAGCGAACAAGUACAGUGAUGGAAAGAUGAAAAGAACUUUGAAAAGAGAGUUAAACAGUACGUGAAAUUGCCAAAAGGGAAGGGUAGGAGGUCAGAGAUGCGGCCUGGGAUUCAGCCUUGCUUUUGCUUGGUGUUUUUCCCAGAUUGCAGGCCAACGUCGGUUUUGGGCACUGGAGAAGGGUAGGAGGAACGUGGCACCCCUCGGGGUGUGUUAUAGCCUCCUACUGGAUACAGCGACCGAGACCGAGGACAGCAGCGUACUCGCAAGAGCGGGCCUUCGGGCACCUUUACGCUUAGGGCGUUGG
Molecule: ribosomal RNA, 586 nt
Filed under: Moesziomyces antarcticus
Lineage: Eukaryota; Fungi; Basidiomycota; Ustilaginomycetes; Ustilaginales; Ustilaginaceae
Description: partial large subunit ribosomal RNA
Rfam family: Eukaryotic large subunit ribosomal RNA
Source: RNAcentral